RNAcentral lists this ribosomal RNA (492 nucleotides) under uncultured bacterium. RNAcentral's name for it is "partial 16S ribosomal RNA". It matches the Rfam family "Bacterial small subunit ribosomal RNA", at positions 29 to 507 of the family's 1533-position model. The record is from RNAcentral.
AGUGAACGCUGGCGGUAGGCCUAACACAUGCAAGUCGAACGGCAGCACAGUAAGAGCUUGCUCUUACGGGUGGCGAGUGGCGGACGGGUGAGGAAUACAUCGGACUCUACUUUUUCGUGGGGGAUAACGUAGGGAAACUUACUCUAAUACCGCAUACGACCUACGGUUGAAAGCAGGGGAUCUUCGGACCUUGCGCGAUUGAAUGAGCCGAUGUCGGAUUAGCUAGUUGGCGGGGUAAAGGCCCACCAAGGCGACGAUCCGUAGCUGGUCUGAGAGGAUGAUCAGCCACACUGGAACUGAGACACGGUCCAGACUCCUACGGGAGGCAGCAGUGGGGAAUAUUGGACAAUGGGCGCAAGCCUGAUCCAGCCAUACCGCGUGGGUGAAGAAGGCCUUCGGGUUGUAAAGCCCUUUUGUUGGGAAAGAAAAGCAGCAGGUUAAUACCACGCUGUUCUGACGGUACCCAAAGAAUAAGCACCGGCUAACUUCGUG